RNAcentral lists this long non-coding RNA (3813 nucleotides) under Sus scrofa (pig). Its description in RNAcentral is "lncRNA (ENSSSCG00040058217.1)". Lineage: Eukaryota; Metazoa; Chordata; Mammalia; Artiodactyla; Suidae. The record is from RNAcentral.
UUUUUUUUUUUUUUUUUUUUGAGUUUCUGUUUAUCUCAUAUGUUCCUUGACCAGGAACUAUUUCUUAAAAUAUCCAUUUUUCAGUUACAUGUUUGAAAAAUAAGUGAGAAUAUAUGUUUUUGUCUUUAUAAUUUAGAGGAUUACUUUUUUUUUUUUGUCUUUUUUGGGUCGCACCUGCUUAUGGAAGUUCCCAGGCUAGGGGUCAAAUUGGAGCUGUAGCUGCUGGCCUGCACCACAGCUACAGCGAUGCCAGAUCCAAGCUGUGUCUGUGACCUGUACCAUAGCUUACCUCAAAGCCGGAUCCUUAAACCACUGAGCGAGGCCAGGGAUCGAACUUGCAUCCUCAUGGACACUAGUCGGGCUUAUUACUGCUGAGCCACAAUGGGAACUCCUAGAGGAUUACUUAAAUUGCAUUGGUUUCCUUCUUUACAGCAUCCUGCACACAGUUUAUGUUGAAAAAAAUCUUGUGCUCAGCAUUUCAUAAUAGAAAAUGUACAGGCUUUGGAGUCAGCAGUCUUCGAACCUCUGCUUUACUCCUUCCUAGUUGCAUGAUUUUGGGCAAAUAGUAACUCCUCCAUGUCUAUACAAACCUCAGAAUAAUGUCACAGUGUAAUAAAAUUUAUAAAAAUAACAAUUUAGGAAUAAUAAUUCCUAUCUUACUAUCUUUCAGAAUUUUCAUGAGGAUUAGAGUUGAUGAGAUGUAAUAAGUACUCAACAAAAUGUAGCCAUUAUUUUUUUUUUUUGUCUUUUCAAGCGCCGGACCCGAAGCACAUGGAGGUUCCCAGGCUAGGGGUCGAAUCGGAGCUGUAGCUGCUGGCCUACACCACAGCCACAGCAACGUGGGAUCCGAGCCGGGUCUGCAACCUACACCACAGCUCACCGCAGUGCGGGAUCCCACUGAGUGAGGCCAGGGAUCCAACCUACAACCUCAUGGUUCCCAGCUGGCUUUGUUAACCACUGAGCCACAAUGGGAACUCCCUUUGGCCUUUUUUUUUUUUUUUUUUUUUUAAUGUAGCCAUUAUUGAACUGAAUUUUUUUUCUUCAUUUGCAGAGACUUCUGGACCUACUCAUGUAUUCAUAUAAUUGUGUUCCAUAAAUUAAUUUUAAAAUAGUCAAAAGUCCAAUAAGAAAAAAUAAGGAAGCCUAAUAUGAAAAACGACCAAUCUCACUAGGAAUUAAUGAAUUUCAAAUAAAAAAAUGAGAUUCUAUUUCAUACCCACUGGACUUACAAGAAUUUCAUUGGCCAGGACCAUUAUCAAGUUGACAAAGAUGUAUGGAAUCAAGAACUCAGACACUGUUUAUGGGAAUCUAAAGAAUCAUCACUGUUCUAGGUUUUUUUAAAAAAUUUUAUUGGAGUAUAGUUGAUUUACAAUGUUGUGUUAGUUUCAGGAGUACAGCAAAAGUGAUUCAGUCAUAAAUAUAUAUACAUACAUCCAUUCUCUUUCACAUUCUUUUCCCAUAUAGCUUAUUACAGAAUAUUGAGUAGAAUUCCUUGUGCUAUACAGUAGGUCCUUGUUGGUUAUUUAUUUUAUAUAUAGUACUCAGUAUAUGUUAAUCCCAAACUCUAAUUUACCCCCCCCCAUCUUUCCCCCUUGGUAACCAUAAGUUUGUAGGUGUUUUAAAGUGUGCUCCCCAAUUGAAUAUCAGUAUAACCUUAUGAAAUUUCAGUACUUCUAGGGAAUUUCAGAUUUUUUAAAAAAUUACUCAAUGAAUUUUAUAGGUGUACAACAAUCAUCAUAACCAAAUUUUUACAGCAUCUCCAUCCUGAACCCUCAGUGCAUCCCCCCACCCCCCAACCUGUCUCAUUUGGAAACCAUAAGUUUUUCAAAGUCUAUGAGUCAGUAUCUGUUCUGCAAAGAAGUUCAUUGUGUCCUUUUUUCAGAUUCCACAUGUAAGUGAUAGCAUUUGAUGUUGGUGUCUCAUUGUCUGACUGACUUGACUUAGCAUCAUCAUUUCUAGGUCCAUCCAUGUUGCUGCAAAUGACGCUAUUUCUUUCCUUUUACUGGCUGAGUAAUAUUCCAUUGUGUAUAUGUACCACAUCUUCUUGAUCCAAUCCUCUGUUGAUGGACAUUUAGGGGUGUUUCCAUGUCUUGGCUACUGUAUAUAGUGCUGCAGUGAACAUCGGAGUGCGUGUGUCUUUUCGCGUCAUGGUUUUCUCUGGAUAGAUGCCCAGGAGUGGGAUGGCUGGAUCAAAUGGUAGUUCUAUUUUUAGUUUUCUGAGGAAUUUCCAUACUGCUUUCCACAGUGGUUGCACCAAUUUACAUUCCCACCAGCAGUGUAAGAGGGUUCCUUUUUCUCCAUACCCCUCUCCAGCACUUACUGUUUGUAGACUUUUUGAUGAUGGCCAUUCUGGCUGGUGUAAGGUGGUACAUCAUAGUAGUUUUGAUUUGCAUUUCUCUAAUAAUGAGUGAUGUUGAACAUCUUUUCAUGUAUUUUUUGGCCACAUGUAUGUCUUCUUUGGAGAAUUGUCUGUUUAGAUCUGCCCAUUUUUUGAUGGGGUUGUUUGUUUUUUUGGUAUUGAGCUCUAGGAAGUGUUUCUAAAUUUUGGAGAUCAAUCCCUUGUCAGUCGAUUCAUUUGCAAAGAUUUUCUUCCAUUCUGUGGGUUGUCUUUUCUUUUUGUUUAGGGUUUCCUUUGCUGUGCAAAAGCUUUUAAGUUAAGUUCCCUUUGUUUAUUUUUGUUUUCACUGUCAUUAUUCUAAGAGGUGGAUCUGAGAAGAUGUUGCUGUCGUUUAUGUUGGAGAAUGUUUGGCUGAAUUUUUCCUUGAAGAGUUUUGUAGUGUCUGGUCUUAUAUCUAGGUCUCUAAUCCAUUUGGAGAUUAUUUUUGUGUAUGGUGUUAGGGAGUGUUCUAAUUUCGUUCUUUUCCAUGUGGCUGACCAGUUUUCCCAGCACCACUUAUUGAAGGGGCUGUCUUUUCUCCAUUGUAUAUUCUUGCCUCCUUUGUCAUUAUUAGUUGACUGUAGGUGUGUGUCAGAGAGAUUUGUAAAAGGAAGUUCAUUAUACAAGGAUGUUCAUUGAAGUACUGGUUAUAACUGUGAAGCAGUAGAAGUAAGUAACUUAUUGGAAUGGAUAAAUGUAUGUGUAUCUAUAUCUAUGUCUAUACUAUGGCAUAUUCGUUACCGGAAUUCUAUGAGUGAGGAGUUAAUAAGGCUGCAUGUGCUAGAGAACCAGCUACUGUACUUUAACCAAAAAAUAGAUGUUGCUUUUCCCACUUAAUAUGAAGUCCAGAGACUGGACUGCUUGUCAUUGCUCUGGUAGCUCCACAAAUCCAUCAACAGACCAGGCUUCUAUACAUCCUGCUCUGCCAUACGUAGCAUGUAGCUCUUUUUCUUAUGGUUACAAAAUGGCUGCAUUGCCACUAUGAAUCACAUCCUCAUCCUUGGUAGGAAAAAAAGUAAGAGGAAAGAAACAGGAGGAGGAGGCAGCUGAGGCAUCGAAUUUUCCUGAGCAAUCCCAAGCUGACUUUGCUCAAUCUUAUUAGCAAGAAACUGAGCUGCAAAAGCCUGGAGAAUAUUCUCUAACUUUUCAGGGCACAUGACUAUAUUGCAAAAACAUUAUGUUUCUCUUAGUAAGAAAAAAGUAUUGGAGUUCCCGUCUUGGCUCAGUGGUUAAUGAAUCUGACCAGGAACCAUGAAGUUUCAGGUUCAUUCCCUGGCCUCACUCAUUCGGUUAAGGAUCCGGUGUUGCCCUGAGCUGUGGUGUAGGUCACAGACACAGUUCAGAUCUGGCGUGGCUGUGGCUGUGGCAUAGGCCGGCGACUACAGCUUCCAUUUGACCCCUGGCCUGGGAACUUCCAUAUGCCUUGGGUGCGGCCC